Molecule: small nucleolar RNA, 105 nt
Organism: Andrographis paniculata
Lineage: Eukaryota; Viridiplantae; Streptophyta; Magnoliopsida; Lamiales; Acanthaceae
Product: small nucleolar RNA Z103
Exons: 1
Source: RefSeq, a predicted model, not a curated record
AUGGAUGUGAUGAUUAUUUCCCCACAUGAUCGAAGCUGAAUAUACUGUGCUAUUAUUACGUAUUUCUCCAAAUUUUGAGAAAUUCAAGCCAGAAAUCUGAUCCGC